Podarcis lilfordi (Lilford's wall lizard) is the source of this 69-nucleotide non-coding RNA. The record is from the annotation of a GenBank genome assembly. NCBI's taxonomy places the organism in Eukaryota, Metazoa, Chordata, Lepidosauria, Squamata, Lacertidae.
GGAUAGCUCAGUUGGCAGAGCCUGAGACUUGUAAUCUCAGGGUCAGGAGUUCUAGCCCCAUGUUGGGCU